Molecule: ribosomal RNA, 245 nt
Filed under: uncultured bacterium
Lineage: Bacteria
Description: partial 16S ribosomal RNA
Rfam family: Bacterial small subunit ribosomal RNA
Source: RNAcentral
CAUGCCGUAAACGAUGAGUGCUAAGUGUAGGGGGUAUCGACCCCCCCUGUGCCGCAGUAAACACAAUAAGUACUCCGCCUGGGAAGUACGAUCGCAAGAUUAAAACUCAAAGGAAUUGACGGGGACCCGCACAAGCAGCGGAGCAUGUGGUUUAAUUCGAAGCAACGCGAAGAACCUUACCUGGACUUGACAUCCCCUGAAUGACUCGUAAUGGAGGAAGCCCUACGGGGCAGGGAGACAGGUGG